RNAcentral lists this ribosomal RNA (284 nucleotides) under Ditylum brightwellii. RNAcentral describes it as "partial Bacterial large subunit ribosomal RNA". It matches the Rfam family "Bacterial large subunit ribosomal RNA", at positions 1989 to 2272 of the family's 2925-position model. Lineage: Eukaryota; Bacillariophyta; Thalassiosirophyceae; Lithodesmiales; Lithodesmiaceae. The record is from RNAcentral.
GACAAGGAAGGCGUAACGAUCUGGGCACUGUCUCAACGAGAGACUCGGUGAAAUUAUAGUACCUGUGAAGAUGCAGGUUACCCGCGACAGGACGGAAAGACCCCAUGGAGCUUUACUGCAGUUUGAUAUUGAGUGUUUGUACAGCUUGUACAGGAUAGGUAGGAGCCAUUGAAGCCAGGACGCCAGUCUUGGUGGAGGCGUUGGUGGGAUACUACCCUUGCUGUAUGACCACUCUAACCCACAGCCCUUAUCGGGCUGGGAGACAGUGUCUUACGGGCAGUUUG